Molecule: long non-coding RNA, 2376 nt
Organism: Neopsephotus bourkii (Bourke's parrot)
Lineage: Eukaryota; Metazoa; Chordata; Aves; Psittaciformes; Psittacidae
Exons: 2
Source: RefSeq, a predicted model, not a curated record
AAGUCAAAAACACAGCACUGAACCAGCUACCAAGGAGGAGAAAAAUGACUGCUACUGCUGAACCCAGGACAUUUAAGAACACAUUCUCUCCACUUCUACUGUUAUGCAGCUCAGGGAAUUUCUGGUAUCAAUAUGUUUGACAUAUCUAAUUUUUGGUUGGUACUAAGCUUUAUAAACCUUGGCUAAGGCAUGAAAAUACCUUAUGAAAUAAUUAAAGUGCUUUGAGCAGAUACAGAUCUUGCUGAAAUGGUAUGCUAAAAAGGUCAGAAGGUACUGCUCCAUUCUGUCCAUAUUGAUAAAAUCUAGAAAACACCACUGACUUUAGUGGUAUUUACUGACAGGUCUCGUGUUACCCUGGUUUAAAUUGGGGUGCAUUUUUGCUUUGUGCCUUUGAUUCCUACAUUUUCCAUCACUGUUUAUCUUCUACCCAUCUUUUUUCUUUAAUUUCUUGCUGUUUGCUUCUCUUUGUUAUUUCCAAAUUUUCAUCUGAGCUGUCAGAGCAGAAGCAAAGUGGGAAGCAUUUAAUUAGAAGAGAGAGGAAAGGGCAGAAGUAUUAAUUCACUCGUGCUCAGAAAGGCAUCUAUUUCUGUAGAUGAAAACUUUGAAAAAUAAUGAAAAUUACUACAUCUCUCUCUCUGAUCUUGAUGAAGUAUUUAGAGAAUAAUUUUUCAGCCAUGAAAAUUACAUAGUGAUCUUAAGGUACUUUACAUUGGUAUGGUUUGGUCAUAUAAAUUUCAAAAUAAUGCAUUACUAUAAUGACUUAUAGUUAGCCAUGUUAAUUAAGAUAGUUAGUUUGUCUGUCCAAUAACCAGGUCCUUCUCCACAAUAUGCUGAAGUUUUAAUUAUCCCUCUGAUUCUGCUAACCUUUAACUGGCAAGCAUUCAUUUGAAUUUUUUUCCAAUGCAUGCUGUCCUUUGUGGAAAUUGUCUUUACAAGUUCUCAGUAUUUUAACAAUUCAUGGUACAGCCUUGCAAAGGGAAGAUUUGUCUCUGAUCAAUUUCAUCAAGCUCUAAAGUAAGUUGCAAAGACAAUCUAGCUCCUAUUUUGCAACUAAUCUGACUCUGUCUGUAAAGGAUGUGAAAAAUGUCCAAAUCUAAGCCAUACAAUGAAGCCAUCCAUUCUAGCAAUGGCAAAGUACUAUUAAUUUAAUCUUAGUAGUCUGGAUGAUUGUGACAGCCAGUGGCAGUAUUACACAGUGAAAGAACCAUGAAUCAUUUUGGUUGGAAAAGACCUUUAAGAUCAUGAAGUCCAAUCAUUAACCUAACACAGCCAAGUCCACCACUAAACCAUGUCCCUUUGCACCAUAUCUACACUUCUUUUAAAUACUUCCAGGGAUGGCCACUCAAACACUUCCCUGGGCAGCCUGUUCCAAUGCCUUGACCAAUGCCUUUCAGUGAAGAAAUUUCUGCUUAUAUUCAGUCUAAACCUCCCCUGGGACAAACUGAGUCAUUUUGUCCUAUCGCUUGUGUGGCACAAAAGACCAACAUCCCACACACACUACAACCUCCUUUCAGGUAGUUGUAGAGAACAGGAAGAUCUCCCCUCAGAGUUCUCCAGGCUAAACAACCCCAGUUCCCUCAGCUGCUCCUCGUAAGUUCUCCAGACUCGUAAGUUUCUCUGGUUCUCCAUACCCUUCCCCAGCUUUGUUGCCCUUCUCUGGACCUGCCCCAGCACCUCAAUGUCCUUUUUGUAGUGAGGAGCCCAGAACUGAACACAGUAUUCAAGGUGCAGCCUCACCAGCACCCAGUACAGGGGGGUGAUCACUACCCUGGCCCUUCAGGCCACACUACUGCCGGUACAGGCCAGGGUGCUGUUGGCUUUCUUGGCCACCUGGGAACACUGCUGCUCAUGUUCAGCCGGCACAUGUGGAUGGCCUGCUCUUUCAGAUUUCCUUCUUGAAGCAUGCCCAGCCUUCCUGGACUCCUUUGUCAUUCAGGACUGCCUCCCAAAAGUGACUCUAUCAACCAGUCUUCUAAAUAGGCUCAAGUCUGCUCUCUGCAAGUACAAGGUAACUGUUCUGCUAACCUCUUACUUGCUUCUCCAAGAAUCAAAAACUCUGUAAUUUCGUGAUCACUGUGCCCAUGAUGGACUCCAUUAUUAAUGGGAAGGGCUUUGACAGGCUAGCAACUUGCGUACCCAGGGAAUUCAAAAGACUUGAGCUGGGCAAUUUAUGGCUUUGUAUUGUUGCCAGAAACCUGUAAAAAUGCUAACUUUUAUGCAGUAAUCUUGUUCAGCAUACUAAGGAGCUCAAAAGACAAAGUUCUAACAAGGGAAAACACAUAAAACAUAAAAAAAGGCUCACUAAGUGUCUUUCCUGAAAGAAGUUUUAUGGCUGCACAGCAUGAGUGGUUGCUUCAGGGAAAAACAAACCAACAA